RNAcentral lists this signal recognition particle RNA (266 nucleotides) under Seinonella peptonophila. RNAcentral's name for it is "Bacterial large signal recognition particle RNA". It matches the Rfam family "Bacterial large signal recognition particle RNA". From Rfam's summary of the family: The signal recognition particle (SRP) is a universally conserved ribonucleoprotein involved in the co-translational targeting of proteins to membranes. Archaeal SRP consists of a 7S RNA and homologues of the eukaryotic SRP19 and SRP54 proteins. Lineage: Bacteria; Bacillati; Bacillota; Bacilli; Caryophanales; Thermoactinomycetaceae. The record is from Rfam by way of RNAcentral.
CCGCGCUAGAUGGGGAGCUCGCCGUGCCCUGUAACUCGCAAUCGGCGUAGCGGGGUUGAAUUCCUAUCUGAGGUCUAGAUUGUGUGAGGUCUGGUCUCUGUCGAAAGUGUUGACGAUUGGGUCCCGCGCAACGAAUACUUCUGAACCGUGUCAGGUCCUGACGGAAGCAGCACUAAGGAAGAGCAUUCGUGUGCCGUGGGAGUGCCUGAUUUGAGCUGGAGCCAGAGAGUCCGCUUGGGCGAUUUAGAUCAAAGGUAGGUGCGCGG